CUGAGAAGAGUUUCACUGCCUCAAUUCUUCGAUCAGUUCUCGGCGUCAGUGACCAAAUUUUGAGAUUGGCAUCAUCAUUCUACUCAUAUGCUUUGCAUUCUGGUACUUUGCGAUGGCGAUUCUAAGACAUGCACACACUGGCGGAUCCAGGUAGG
Molecule: long non-coding RNA, 155 nt
Organism: Salvia splendens (bonfire salvia)
Lineage: Eukaryota; Viridiplantae; Streptophyta; Magnoliopsida; Lamiales; Lamiaceae
Exons: 3
Source: RefSeq, a predicted model, not a curated record